AGCUGGGAGCUGCUGUUCCUGAGCUCAUGGACUGCAGGGCAGGACAUCCAAGGCAGAAAACAAAGCUAAGCAAAACAGAAUCUUCUCCAGCUACAGGCAGAAGCCCUGGUUACACAUCUGUCUGGUUCCUUACCAGAAGCGAGCAGCUGACAAUGAACCAGAAGCACAUUUUGGUCUUAGGGGUCUGAUUAGAAGUGAAAAGUAACAUGACCACUGCAAGCAUUCCUGAAUUAGAGGUAAUCAAGAUCCUGAGAAGAUCACAAGAGGUUAAUUUUUUUCUGAGGCAGCUAAUCUUGUGAUAUUGUGUCAUGCUAGUCCUACAGUGACAGAGCUUCCUGCCUGGGAGUUGAAAUGAGGAGACUUCUUGAAAAGGUCUAAUAAUUUUGGGGGCUUUUUUUUUCCCCCCUAAGGUGGAUCUGAGGGGAUGUUAGGAAGGAUGGCCCUGCAGUCACUGAUCUGCUUAUGAAAUGAGAGAACCUGCAGUGAAUUCUCAGCAAAUUUGACCCCACUGACAUAACUCCUGACCAACAAAAGAAGAAGAGUAAUGCACAGAUUUGUCAUCCUUUGCCUCAUGUACCAAAAAUACUAUUUUGUUGAAGCACACCACCUUCUCAGCCUUUAAAGAGCAUGGUGUGGGUGCCUGGUACCAGAUGCUUCACAACAGAAAUGCUCAACAAUGCCACCUCCCUUGCCAAGCCAGAAGGACACUGAAGUUAAGAGAGAGAAAAAGCAUCUCAAGAAAGGUCCAAGCUGAUACUACUGGGGAUAAUGACACACAGGAGCCACACACAACUGAGGAAAGGAAAUGGAAUCUCUGAAAAUUACUAAUAACUAACAGGUUCCUUUUGAGAUUUAUGAGCCAUGGGAAGCAAUGGAUCCUUCAGGCCAAUGGGGCUGGACAAUCCCCUAGCAAGAAGAAAGCCACCCUGUUUUUGUAAAUAGACAUUUUUCUAUCUCAGUCCCUAGUAUGACAUAGUUUUCUCCACAAUUUUCCCCCAUUAUUUCUUCAUUUUCCAGUGGAUGGAGACAAAUUUAUUCUUGCUCUUUUUAGUUGUGUGACUUUCUGCUGCAUGCAGAUACUCUUUUCAUGGAAAAAAAAAAAAAAGGAUUGAUAGCUCUCCACGUGUUUUUGUUUGUUUUUUUCUACUGAAUGGCCUUUCUAUUCACCAGUUCAUCUCUGCAAUCAUAUGAGGAACACGGGAAUUUUUCUGAUAAUUUACUUUUUUUUAAACACAGUUGGGCAAGGCUUCAGUUCUAGCCUAUGAGAACUUCCCAUAAUACUCUCUAAAUUAGCAGUGCUUUCAGGCUGCAGCUCUCAAGGGGAUCACCACAUUUGCAUUGGUGACAGCCAACUACUGCUCCAGGGUCACUCCAGUCACAUUUCUUUUGCAUCAAGUUGACACUCAAGGUCAAGUGACAUGUUGGCUUUGACACUGCAGUGAUAUUUGGCUUCAUCAGCCUCUCAAGGUCAUGCUGCUCUUGGCUGAGCAGCACAGACAGAGGAGCCUGCUUGCCUCCCUCUGCUUGGGUUGUGAAAUGAUGGAGCAGUUACUUCCACAGGAGGAUAAAUGGUGGGCAGAGGAGAAAUGCUGUCUGAGAGCCAAGUUCACUUUUGCCCUGCUAUUGCUGUAGUAGCAUAAGAAAGUGAUUCACACCUUUCUUGCUAAGGUAGAAAAACUGGAUGCCCACCAGACUGUCUAGUUUACCAUUAGGCUGUGCUAGCACCCUCCUGUAUUACAGAUUAUUACCUCCUUUUAGGAUAAAUGCUAUUAAAUACUCAGGACAGUGUUCCCUCACUCCCUCAGAAUAAAGCUGUGUUAUUUUCUCUAGUGGUCACAUGCAAACCAGUGAGUUACAAUCACUUCAUCUGUUCACCUCAUCAAUUUGUGACCCCAUCAGCUCAGAGAAAUCAAAAGCAUUAACCCUGUAACAUAAAAGCUGACUUUGAAUUGUGUGAUAAUAAGAAACAAACUGCCUUUACAGCCCCUGACAAUCAAGCAGAUUCUUAAAUGGGCUGUGUCAGACAUGGGGGGUCUGUGCGGCACCUGUGCACUUCGACAGCACUACACACGCAUGACGGAGAACCUCUGUUUACUUUUGCAACAGGGGGGAUCUGGGAAGGCAUCCUGGAAACGGACAGGUAUUUUAAAAUCCAGAACCAAAACAGGCAAAAGAAGAAUAUUCACCUUACUGAAGACACUGUGAUUUGAGCAAGCGACAUCCUUCCCAUCCUCUAAAACUACUGCAAGGAUUAACCAGCACUUGGAUAUUUAUGUCUGACAGCAGUCCUAAAAAUGAGUUGCGCUGCAUGCAGACUGGAAAACAGACAAAGUGACACAUUCAGCUUACAUAACACCAUAAAAAAAGAAAACUUGCUACAAUUCAAAACUAAAAGAAAAAAAUCAAAAUCAGGACAUAGAUGUCUUCUGGCUACCUCACAAAGAGCCACCUCAGCAUCUUCUGCAGCUUUGAUUGCAUUUUGGUUCAAAACCUUCAGUAUAACUCAGUAAAUAUGAAUAAACAGUAGCAGAUGAACACAUCUGUCCCUGUGUAAACACAGGAGAAAAUCAUCUAUACAACACUUCAUCUAUUACUUCAAUAAUAUCUUCAGAAACACAGUAUGUGAAGAAAUGUUAUAUAAGAAACAAAGUCAAACCAUGACAUUUGGAAACUGAACACACUUCUGUUUGGCCAAAGUAACUGCUCUUUUUCCCAUGCAUGUAAAAUUUGUUCUGCAGUUUGAAAACAUCUCCAUUGAAUUUUAUUCAAUACCAUUCUAGUUGCUGCUUCUUUAUCAUCUGGAUCUCCUUUUAUUUGGUCCAUCAUACCAAAAUAAACUUAUGUAAGCCAGAAUUCUCUGUUUUGAUGCCAUUAGUUUGUUCUUCUUUCCCUCAUUAAAGAAUCUCCAGAUUCAGCUUACUUCUUUUCAUCUUGUAUCUUGAACGUCUUUUCUCUUUCAGUACUCUAACCCAACAUGCUGUUUUUAAUAGGGUUUGGCACUGAGUUGUCUUGUACUAAGAUAACAUAAACCUCCUUUCUUCCACUCCAAAUGGUAGAACAGAAAAGCAGUAAGUAACAAACUUGAUGAU
Motacilla alba alba is the source of this 3089-nucleotide long non-coding RNA. RefSeq lists it as uncharacterized. The transcript has 3 exons. The record is from RefSeq and is a predicted model, not a curated record. Lineage: Eukaryota; Metazoa; Chordata; Aves; Passeriformes; Motacillidae.